Molecule: ribosomal RNA, 292 nt
Filed under: uncultured bacterium
Lineage: Bacteria
Description: partial 16S ribosomal RNA
Rfam family: Bacterial small subunit ribosomal RNA
Source: RNAcentral
GUGUCAGCAGCCGCGGUAAUACAGAGGUCCCAAGCGUUGUUCGGAUUCACUGGGCGUAAAGGGUGCGUAGGCGGCGGGGUAAGUUCGAUGUGAAAGCUCGCAGCUCAACUGCGAAAUGGCAUUGAAAACUACCUUGCUUGAGGCUUGGAGGGGGGACUGGAAUGCUCGGUGUAGCAGUGAAAUGCGUAGAGAUCGAGCGGAACACCAGUGGCGAAGGCGAGUCCCUGGACAAGUCCUGACGCUGAGGCACGAAAGCCAGGGGAGCAAACAGGAUUAGAAACCCUGGUAGUCC